This 92-nucleotide transfer RNA is filed under the name Malassezia japonica. RNAcentral describes it as "tRNA-Pro". It matches the Rfam family "tRNA". Rfam says of the family: Transfer RNA (tRNA) molecules are approximately 80 nucleotides in length. Their secondary structure includes four short double-helical elements and three loops (D, anti-codon, and T loops). Further hydrogen bonds mediate the characteristic L-shaped molecular structure. tRNAs have two regions of fundamental functional importance: the anti-codon, which is responsible for specific mRNA codon recognition, and the 3' end, to which the tRNAs corresponding amino acid is attached (by aminoacyl-tRNA synthetases). tRNAs cope with the degeneracy of the genetic code in two manners: having more than one tRNA (with a specific anti-codon) for a particular amino acid; and 'wobble' base-pairing, i.e. permitting non-standard base-pairing at the 3rd anti-codon position. Lineage: Eukaryota; Fungi; Basidiomycota; Malasseziomycetes; Malasseziales; Malasseziaceae. The record is from RNAcentral.
GGCCGUAUGGUCUAGUAGUAUGAUUCUCGCUUUGGGAGAGUCGCGUAACUCGAAAAUGCGAGAGGUCCUGGGUUCAAUUCCCAGUGCGGCCC